RNAcentral lists this ribosomal RNA (531 nucleotides) under Russula sp. RNAcentral describes it as "LSU rRNA". It matches the Rfam family "Eukaryotic large subunit ribosomal RNA", at positions 56 to 590 of the family's 3401-position model. Lineage: Eukaryota; Fungi; Basidiomycota; Agaricomycetes; Russulales; Russulaceae. The record is from RNAcentral.
UCGGAAUAACAGGAUCCCCUAGUAACUGCGAGUGAAGCGGGAAAAGCUCAAAUUUAAAAUCUGGUGGUCCUCGGCCACCCGAGUUGUAAUUUAGAGAAGCGUCUUCCGCGCUGGACCCGUGCACAAGUCUCCUGGAAUGGAGCGUCAUAGAGGGUGAGAAUCCCGUCUUUGGCACGGAUACCCCGGAGCUUUUGUGAUGCGCUCUCGAAGAGUCGAGUUGUUUGGGAAUGCAGCUCAAAAUGGGUGGUGAACUCCAUCUAAAGCUAAAUAUUGGCGAGAGACCGAUAGCGAACAAGUACCGUGAGGGAAAGAUGAAAAGCACUUUGGAAAGAGAGUGAAACAGUACGUGAAAUUGUUGAAAGGGAAACGCUUGAAGUCAGUCGCGUCGACCGAGACUCAGCCUUGCCUCGGCUUGGUGUAUUUCUUGGCCGACGGGUCAGCAUCGAUUUUGUGCCUCGGAUAAUGGCGAGGGAAAUGUGGCACCCUUUUGGGUGUGUUAUAGUCCCCUGUCGCAUGCGAGGGGUCGGGAUC